RNAcentral lists this ribosomal RNA (433 nucleotides) under uncultured bacterium. RNAcentral describes it as "partial 16S ribosomal RNA". It matches the Rfam family "Bacterial small subunit ribosomal RNA", at positions 29 to 507 of the family's 1533-position model. The record is from RNAcentral.
AACGAACGCUGGCGGUAUGCCUAACACAUGCAAGUCGAACGACACCUCCGUAUCUAGUUGCUCUCAGGUGCGUCACGCGUGGGAACCUUCCCUUAGGCUCCGGAUUCUACCCCUUCGUGGGUGCUAAUAUAGGGUAACUUCCUCUGAUCCAGGAUAGAUCGACCUUGUAUGGGCCCGCGUUGGAUUAGCUAGUUGGUAGUGUAAAAGCCUACCAAGGCGACGAUCCAUAGCUGGUCUGAGAGGAUGAUCAGCCACACUGGGACUGAGACACGGCCCAGACUACUACGGGAGGCAGGAGUGGGGAAUAUUGGACAAUGGGCGAAAGCCUGAUCCAGCAAUGCCGCGUGAGUGAUGAAGGCGUUAGGGUUGUGAAGCUCUUUUACACGGGAUGAUAAUGACAGUACCGGGAGAAUAAGCACCGGCUAACUCCGUG